RNAcentral lists this transfer RNA (63 nucleotides) under Amerotyphlops reticulatus (reticulate worm snake). RNAcentral's name for it is "tRNA-Gly". Lineage: Eukaryota; Metazoa; Chordata; Lepidosauria; Squamata; Typhlopidae. The record is from RNAcentral.
ACUUCUUUAGUAUAAAUGUACAACUGCCUUCCAAGCAGAAAGCUCCACCAAAGGAAAGGAGUA